This 423-nucleotide ribosomal RNA is filed under the name uncultured bacterium. Its description in RNAcentral is "bacterial SSU rRNA". It matches the Rfam family "Bacterial small subunit ribosomal RNA", at positions 28 to 447 of the family's 1533-position model. The record is from RNAcentral.
GAUGAACGCUAGCGGCAGGCUUAAUACAUGCAAGUCGAGGGGUAACAUGGGUAGCAAUACCUGAUGACGACCGGCAAACGGGUGCGGAACAUGUACGCAAUCUUCCCAAAACUGGUGAAUAGCCCUCCGAAAGGAGGAUUAAUACACCGUAACAUAACGAAGUGGCAUCACUUUGUUAUUAUAGCUCCGGCGGUUUUGGAUGAGCGUGCACCUGAUUAGGUAGUUGGCGGGGUAACGGCCCACCAAGCCUACGAUCAGUAACUGGUGUGAGAGCACGACCAGUCACACGGGCACUGAGACACGGGCCCGACUCCUACGGGAGGCAGCAGUAAGGAAUAUUGGUCAAUGGACGAAAGUCUGAACCAGCCAUGCCGCGUGAAGGAUGAAGGUCCUCUGGAUUGUAAACUUCUUUUAUAUGGGACG